CUGCCUGCUGGUCACAGGUUUCUCGGAAAUGCCAGUAAGGUUUUCUGUUCCUCUGGAUAUGUUUCUAGAUGGAGCAAUGUCCGAAUUAGAUUUUUCUUCUCCAUCCUGUCUCUCGUGAGUAGCAGGUAUAACUCUGGAAACAUGAAUAUGUUUGAAUGAACGUAUGAGUCAACUGGGCUAACAUCAAAAUUAGAAUGACUCUGGAUCUAAAUAGCCACUUAUGUUAAACAUUAGAUAAUUGCUUCUACAUGGAUGGAAACCAAGAUGAAAUGUGUCAAGAAGGAUUUAUUUCAAAAGAGUGCAUUCUUAAAAGAUUUCAAAGCAUCAGAUAACAAACUGAUGCUUCAGGAGGGAAGGAGCUUUAGUUUCAAGUUCUUUGGGGAGUUGCUCCAAGUAUUAACUGCUGGCCAGGGUGUCAUCACCAAGGAUGUGGCUGCAAGAGGGAAGAGGAGAUGGGGAGAUUCAGCGAGACACACAAGCAGAGGCAGGUCCUGUCUGAAGGAGAGGGACAAACUCAGCUUUCUGAUACAAAUGGGAGAGCUAUAAUUCAAACAUUCAAGAAAAGGUUGCAGGGUCUUUAUAUUCUGGAGGCAGUCUUUGAACUACUUCUGAAGAAAUAAUACCAGCAACCAAAGCAAGAUAAGUGUUAUUUGGG
RNAcentral lists this long non-coding RNA (655 nucleotides) under Cyanistes caeruleus (blue tit). RNAcentral's name for it is "lncRNA (ENSCCEG00000024029.1)". The record is from RNAcentral. Lineage: Eukaryota; Metazoa; Chordata; Aves; Passeriformes; Paridae.